AUUGGAAUUGCUGGAUGAUAAGGUAACUCUGUUUGACUUUCUGAGGAGCUACCAAACUUUUUUCCAAAAAGGCUAUACCAUUUUACAUUCCCACCAGCAAU
RNAcentral lists this microRNA precursor (101 nucleotides) under Marmota monax (woodchuck). Lineage: Eukaryota; Metazoa; Chordata; Mammalia; Rodentia; Sciuridae. The record is from RNAcentral.